AUGAUGUUGAGCACAACGUUG
Molecule: unclassified non-coding RNA, 21 nt
Filed under: Chlamydomonas reinhardtii
Lineage: Eukaryota; Viridiplantae; Chlorophyta; Chlorophyceae; Chlamydomonadales; Chlamydomonadaceae
Description: small RNA Cre_0732
Source: RNAcentral